Molecule: ribosomal RNA, 253 nt
Filed under: uncultured bacterium
Lineage: Bacteria
Description: partial 16S ribosomal RNA
Rfam family: Bacterial small subunit ribosomal RNA
Source: RNAcentral
UACGUAGGGACCAAGCGUUGUUCGGAUUUACUGGGCGUAAAGGGCGCGUAGGCGGCGUGGUAAGUCACUUGUGAAAUCUCUGAGCUUAACUCAGAACGGCCAAGUGAUACUGCUGUGCUAGAGUGCAGAAGAGGCAAUCGGAAUUCUUGGUGUAGCGGUGAAAUGCGUAGAUAUCAAGAGGAACACCUGAGGUGAAGACGGGUUGCUGGGCUGACACUGACGCUGAGGAGCGAAAGUGUGGGGAGCGAACAGG